CACUCAAUAUGGCGGCUCGAAUACUUGAAGGGGUAAUAACUACUUAUUUAUUAUCGAUCAACUGAUAAAUGAUGAACAAUGACUGGCAUCAUUCUAUGACUAACAAAUUAGCCUGACUUACAUGAAAACCAUAUUGCAGUGUUUGAAAGACACCUAUGUCAUUUUUACUUGCUUGCAUGUUGUCCUUACAAGUCAAUCUUUAAUAUAGAAUAAGUGGAAUUCAAAAACUGACCUGUUUUAACUGCACAUAUACAACACACUUGUAUGCUUUCAGUUUCAAAGAUUUUGCAGUUGAGAGUUGGUGUGGGGCAAGGAAGAGUUGGACAAAAAAGUGCUGGAUCACUUUCCUUCUCAACAAGUAUUAUAACUAUUUGACUAGUAAAAUCUCUUAUGGAAUGUACACAAAAUUUUGAUUGAAAGAUAAUUCUUUUUUAAAACUAAAAUAACUUGUUUAAAAUGAAAUGAUAAGUUUCUAAUUCUUUUUUAA
Molecule: long non-coding RNA, 487 nt
Organism: Amphimedon queenslandica
Lineage: Eukaryota; Metazoa; Porifera; Demospongiae; Haplosclerida; Niphatidae
Exons: 4
Source: RefSeq, a predicted model, not a curated record